GUGGGUGGCCGUUGCUGAUCAGCACCUUUUACUUCCACUUAGCACCAUGUUAGGCCCAGGAGAGGAAAUGGAUGGACCCUUGACUCUAUUUGUGAUAAGAAUUGGACAAAAUGAUGCCUGCAAAGUGUUCAGUGGCACUUGAGGGAAGAGUAGCCACUGUCCUGCUUUUUGCCUGGGGCAGGCCUGGUGCUGCAGGAUCUGGGCAGAGGCCUCCUUGAUCGUCCCCACCCAUCAGAUUCUUCAUGGGGCACCUGCUGCACACAGAGGGACAGGAAUCUUACUGAACACCUAGUAUAUGCCAGAGCCUACACACACAGUGGGCUACUCAACAUUCACAACAACUCUGUACAGUAAGUACAAAUAUUGGUCCCAAGAUACAGAUUGGGAAACUGAGGCUUAUACCAGUUAUGUGUUGUGCCCAAGGUCACCAAGCUGGAUGAGGACUGACGCCUGUCUGGAGCCUAAAUUCUUUCUCCUACACCAGAUUGACUUCCAGAGAGUUCUAGGAUACAAAGCUGGCAACAGACUUUCUGCCACGUAGAGGGAUAUGGCAGGUGACAACCCUGUCUGGCUCUGCUAAUCAGGAUCCAGUAAGAAGCUCAAGACAGGUGGCCACUCUGCUGGUAGGCAGAGGAGGGAGCUGUGCUCCCUGGGGUGGGUAGAAGUAAGGUUUGUGUGGGUGCUGGGUGUUGGACACGGGCAGGCUGCAGACAUAGCAGCAAUGAGGGGAGACUCUCUCAACCUGCCCAUGUCCUCCUCUGAGCAAUCUCCCCGCCCCAGAAUUAUUUCAGUUUCCUCAUCUGUCAGUUCUAGGGGUGGACUUCAUUCAUUCAAUACUGUGUCCCUGACCUCUGCUCCCUGCCAGGCUCUGAACUAGUCAUGUGUCAGGCUGGAUACUUAGAUGGACAAGACAAGCCAUCCCCUGCCCACAGCUGCCCCACCUGAAGUCUAGGCCAGUGACCUCCGAAGUUUUUUUGAUCAUGUGCCCUUAGCAAUAAAAAAGAUUGUUGAGU
Molecule: long non-coding RNA, 1013 nt
Filed under: Homo sapiens (human)
Lineage: Eukaryota; Metazoa; Chordata; Mammalia; Primates; Hominidae
Description: HSALNT0106532
Source: RNAcentral